GAUACUGUAGUCAUAGUAACGUUUGUUUCACAUGUUUGCAAGAAAGCAGAGGCGUCGUAAGGAGUGAUCGAAAUUACUGUUAUUUCAGAUAUCCCACAUUCUUUGAAGUUUUUGGCACUGGGUAACGUCAAAAUUCUCACGUGAUACCAUUAAUACCCUGCAAGUUAAUGCUGUUGGUACCAUCAAGGGAGCUUAUAAGUAAUUAUAUAAAAUUAAGGACGUUAGUUAGUGAAUUAAAUAAUAGGGUCUAGGGAGUUAAACUGUUCACAUAGAUCUCCGUCAAUCACAUUCUGCAACAAAACAAAUAUCGCGAUUUUUAAUUGGCAUAUCAGAAAUUGGACUAUAAGCUGAUAACAGCGAAUCCGACUCUCAAGAAUGCAGCAUCCGAUCGCAAGGCGGCGUCACCAUAACGGCAGAUCGCACGCCGUGCAUAACUCGUCAGCCUUGCUAUACC
RNAcentral lists this unclassified non-coding RNA (454 nucleotides) under Bombyx mandarina (wild silkworm). RNAcentral describes it as "uncharacterized LOC114247551, transcript variant X1". The record is from RNAcentral. Lineage: Eukaryota; Metazoa; Arthropoda; Insecta; Lepidoptera; Bombycidae.